Molecule: ribosomal RNA, 253 nt
Filed under: uncultured bacterium
Lineage: Bacteria
Description: partial 16S ribosomal RNA
Rfam family: Bacterial small subunit ribosomal RNA
Source: RNAcentral
UACGUAGGGGGCAAGCGUUGUCCGGAAUCAUUGGGCGUAAAGCGCGUGUAGGCGGUCCGGUAAGUCGGUUGUGAAAGUCCAGGGCUCAACCCUGGGAUGCCGACCGAUACUGUCGGACUAGAGUUCGGAAGAGGCGAGUGGAAUUCCCGGUGUAGCGGUGAAAUGCGCAGAUAUCGGGAGGAACACCAAUGGCGAAGGCAGCUCGCUGGGACGUUACUGACGCUGAGACGCGAAAGCGUGAGGAGCAAACAGG